GAUUGGCUCUGGCAGGGCUGGAGAGGAGACCGCCGGGGUGGGCAGGGCACAGGGGGAGGGAGAGAAAGGACAAGAGAGGGGUCCGGCUCUGGCGCGAUAGGCCAGCAGCGGUGUCUGUCGAGCUGUCAGCGGCGGAGGGAGGAGAAAGGUGGGCAGGAUUGGAGACCCCGCUCCUCCCCCUCUCUCCUCUGGGCAUCACCGCGCAAAGGUGAGCAGAGCAAAGUGGGCGCUGAAAGCGGAUUGAAGGAUAUCUGCCCAUUUGCGCAGGUUACUUGUCGCAGGCACGGGUAUUUUGAGUCGAAACAUCGCCCCCUUCGCCCUCCUCGUGACUCAGCAAUAUUCCCGAGAAGUCAAGUAGAGGUGACCAAGGGGAUGGAGCAGUGGAAGUCAGCCAAGAGAAAGGGUACCAACUCCAAUUAAAGCCACUUUAUUAGGUACACCUUCCUAGCAGUGGGUUGGACUGCCUUUUGCCUUCAAAACUGCUUUAAUUCUUCAUGGCAUGGAUUCAACAAGGUGCUGGAAACAUUCUUCACAGAUUUUGGUUCAUCUAGACAUGAUAGCAUCACACAGUUGCUGCAGAUUUGUCAGCUGGACGUCCAUAAUGUGAAUCUGCUGUUCCACCACAUCCCAAAGGUGCUCUACUGGAUUGAGAUCUGAUGACUGCCGAUGCCAUUUGAGUACAGUGAAGUCAUUGUUGUGUUCAUGAAGCCAGUUUGAGAUUAUCUAUACUUUGUGACAUGGCACACUACCCUGUAAAAAGCAGCCAGCAGAAGAUGGGUACGCUGUGAUUUGCCACUAAAAUCUGAAAAAAACAAAACAAAACAAAACAAAAAAAACUUGUGAGUUUCUUGCCCCAAAAUACUGGUUAGUUUUUUCUAACUAAACGGCACAUAUGAUUCUACCUUCAUAUUAGCUACAAGGAUUUUCUUGUCAGAUGUGUCCGAUAAAACCUAAACAAGCCUAUGUUAUUGUUUUUCUUUUCUAUGUGGUAUCUGUUGCAUUUCAAAGAAUGACCAUGUCUAGAUCUACCAAAAAAAUCCAUAUUUCUCAGUAGGGCUGAAACACAUACCAUGAUUCAUAUUUCACAUAAAACAGUAAUAACUUGAGGUUUUUGUUUUGGUUUGUUUUUUUUAGUUUUUUUUUUUUUUCUGUACUAAGAAUCAAAACCUAUUUCUAAUGAAAAUGACAUAAUACUUUUUUUUUUUUUUUUUUUAAAUUGGUGGGACAUUUUCAAUCUACAGUUACAAAGAACAAGUCAACUACAAGUCAAUUUGAGUUUUAAAUUCCAUGAUUUAUGCAAAUUAUGCUGCUGCUUUCCUGUAAACUGUCUUUCUGGGAGUGUGGUAAAAGCUUUACAACAGCAUUUACACCUUUUUGAUGGAAAAAAAACACAAUGCAAAGUAUAAUUGAAGUGUUCGGUUAAAAAAAAGAAAAUAUGGAAAAUCUGUGAGACAAUCUUUUUGCGUGGGAGUGUUUGCUCAGUCACAGCUCUGAGCAUGAUUAAACAACAAAACAACAAUUAUUACUGUGGAGAGUUCACUUUUAACAGUGUAAAGCUUUUUUGUGAAACCCAAUUCAGUUCAGUUCAAUUUAAUUUCUAAUGUGCCAAAUCACAACAACAAAUCAAGACUACAAUAAUACAAAGAAAACAGAGAAAACCAUCAUAUAUCCUUAUAUGAGUAAACGCUUUGGCAACAGUGGGAAGGAAGAACCCCCUUUUAACAGGAAAAAACCUCUGGCAGAACCACUAUAACUAUAGUUCAUAACAGUUUUUAGUUAUGAAUGUAAAAGUCCUGCUUAAAUGGUCCAAAUGUCACACACACACACACACACACACACACACACACACACACACACACACACACACACACACACACACACACACACACACACACACAAUAAGCUCACAACUCACAAGAUGAUACCUAAAUCCACUUUAUUCUUACAUCCAGCUAUACACCAUCAUCAUCAUCAUGUCAGCAUCAUCAUCAUCA
This is a long non-coding RNA of Astatotilapia calliptera (eastern happy), 1994 nucleotides long. NCBI's taxonomy places the organism in Eukaryota, Metazoa, Chordata, Actinopteri, Cichliformes, Cichlidae. The record is from Ensembl.